CCUACGGGAGGCAGCAGUGGGGAAUAUUGGGCAAUGGGCGCAAGCCUGACCCAGCAACGCCGCGUGAGGGAAGAAGGUUUUCGGGUCGUAAACUUCUGUUGUCAGGGAAGAGUGGAAGACGGUACCUGACGAAUAAGCCACGGCUAACUACGUGCCAGCAGCCGCGGUAAUACGUAGGCGGCAAGCGUUGUCCGGAUUUACGGGGGGUAAAGGGCGUGUAGCCGGGUUGACAAGUCAGAUGUGAAAUCCUGCGGCUUAACCGCAGAACUGCAUUUGAAACUGUUGAUCUUGAGUGCUGGAGAGGCAGGCGGAAUUCCAAGUGUAGCGGUGAAAUGCGUAGAUAUUAGGAGGAACACCAGUGGCGAAGGCGGUCUGCUGGACAGCAACUGACGGUGAGGCGCGAAAGCGUGGGGAGCAAACAGGAUUAGAUACCCGUGUAGUC
RNAcentral lists this ribosomal RNA (442 nucleotides) under uncultured bacterium. RNAcentral's name for it is "partial 16S ribosomal RNA". It matches the Rfam family "Bacterial small subunit ribosomal RNA", at positions 338 to 795 of the family's 1533-position model. The record is from RNAcentral.